AUGACGUCGUUCGGAGACGAUGAGAAGCCUCCUUCUCCGAAUGCAGGGAAGAAUGGAGAUCGAGGAUUAUAUGCAGGUAGCAAAGAUGGGCUGGUGAUGAUGGCAAUUCCGGCGUACAACAGGAAAGAUGUGGGGCUGACCAAGGAUACAGUGACGGCCAUGGUGGAGAUCAGGGCCACAUCCUCCGCCGCCAUGAGGGAAGGGCUGGACCUGGUGGCGGUGCUGGACGUGAGCGGCGGCAUGGGCGGGGACAAGAUCCAGAGCGUGAAGAAGGCCCUGCAGUUCGUCAUCAUGAAGCUCACCUCCGUGGACCGCCUCUCCAUCGUCACCUUCGACAGCACCGCCCGCAGGCUCACCCCACUGCGCUCCAUGACGCAGGCUGCCCAGACCGACCUCAAGGCCGACGUCGACGGCCUGGCGGCCGGCGGAGGGACCGACAUAAAGGCCGGUCUCGAGUUGGGGCUGGCCGUCCUCGCUGGCCGCGUCCACGCCGAGUCCCGCACCCCCAACAUCUUCCUCAUGUCAGACGGGCAGACGACCUCCGGCGACCCCAGGGAAGUCCACCCCGGCGAAGUGGCCGUCUACACCUUUGGUUUCGGCGCCGGCACGAACCACAAGCUGCUGAGCGACCUGGCCAAGAAGUCCACUGGCGGGACGUACAGCGCGGUGCCGGACGGGACCAACCUCAGCGCGCCCUUCUCGCAGCUGCUCGGCGGCCUGCUCACGGUGGUGGCGCAGGACGUGCAGCUCACGCUCGAGCCCAACACCGCCGAUGGCGACCUGGAGAAGAUGACCGUGGCCCCCGGCACAGACUACACGACGAUCACCGACGACAAGAGAGGCCUCAUCACCAUCAAGUUCGGCACCCUCUUCAGCGGAGAAGCCCGCAAGGUGGCCGUCAACUUCACUCUCAGGGACAGCGACGAGACCGAGGAGUACGACGCCACUUUGGCCGAGGCGCGGCACAGCUACGCUGGCCAGAAGACGCGCCAGUCUCUCGAGGCCAUCCUGAUUGUGCGCACCCCGAACCCAAGCUCUCCCGUAGACGCCGGUGCUGUCGAGAACCGCUCUGUGCUGGCCGAGGAGGUGCGCCGGAUGCACGCCGACACCAUCAACGCGGCGAGCCUCCUGGCGGACGAUGAGAGGCUGGAGGAAGCGCGGGAGAGGAUCGCGGACGCGCAGAACGCGGUGGAGGACAUCGUGCUGCUGGACCUGGACGACGGGGAGAAGAUGGUCAACGCGCUCCGCGCCGAGCUGCUGCAGCUGCUCGCCUUCAUGGAGUCGCAGGAGAUCUACAACGAGCGGGGACACCCCUACGCCCUCGCCACCGUCACGUCCCACGGGCGGCAGCGCACCGCCGCGAGGGGCGACGAGGGGGAGGUCAUGUGCCUCUAUGCGACGCCGCGCAUGAACGCCUACCUGGAGCAGGCCAAGAGGUUCGAGGAGAACCCAAAGGAGCCGAUGCCCACCGCCGACGAUGACGUCGAGGGAGAGAUUUCGUAA
RNAcentral lists this ribosomal RNA (1503 nucleotides) under Triticum aestivum (bread wheat). Its description in RNAcentral is "partial small subunit ribosomal RNA". The record is from RNAcentral. Lineage: Eukaryota; Viridiplantae; Streptophyta; Magnoliopsida; Poales; Poaceae.